RNAcentral lists this ribosomal RNA (253 nucleotides) under uncultured bacterium. RNAcentral's name for it is "partial 16S ribosomal RNA". It matches the Rfam family "Bacterial small subunit ribosomal RNA", at positions 524 to 776 of the family's 1533-position model. The record is from RNAcentral.
UACGUAGGUGGCAAGCGUUAUCCGGAUUUACUGGGUGUAAAGGGCGCGUAGGCGGGGACGCAAGUCAGAUGUGAAAACCACGGGCUCAACCUGUGGCCUGCAUUUGAAACUGUGUUUCUUGAGUACUGGAGAGGCAGACGGAAUUCCUAGUGUAGCGGUGAAAUGCGUAGAUAUUAGGAGGAACACCAGUGGCGAAGGCGGUCUGCUGGACAGCAACUGACGCUGAGGCGCGAAAGCGUGGGGAGCAAACAGG